This 406-nucleotide ribosomal RNA is filed under the name uncultured bacterium. RNAcentral's name for it is "partial 16S ribosomal RNA". It matches the Rfam family "Bacterial small subunit ribosomal RNA", at positions 30 to 526 of the family's 1533-position model. The record is from RNAcentral.
AUUGAACGCUGGCGGCAGGCCUAACACAUGCAAGUCGAACGAGUGGCGGACGGGUGAGUAAUGUCUGGGAAACUGCCCGAUGGAGGGGGAUAACUACUGGAACCGGUAGCUAAUACCGCAUACCAUCGGAUGUGCCCAGAUGGGAUUAGCUAGAAGGUGGGGUAAUGGCUCAACUAGGCGACGAUCCCUAGCUGGUCUGAGAGGAUGACCAGCCACGCGGGAAUGGAUACACGGUCCAGACUCCUACGGGAGGCAGCAGUGGGGAAUAUUGCACAAUGGGCGCAAGCCUGAUGCAGCCAUGCCGCGUGUAUGAAGAAGGCCUUCGGGUUGUAAAGUACUUUCGGCGGGGAGGCGUUACUCGAAGAAGAAGCACCGGCUAACUCCGUGCCAGCAGCCGCGGUAAUAC